CACACCGCCCGUCACACCAUGGGAGUUGGCUGCACCAGAAGCCGGUAGUCUAACCGCAAGGGGGACGCCGUCCAUGGUGUGGUCAAUGACUGGGGUG
This 97-nucleotide ribosomal RNA is filed under the name uncultured bacterium. RNAcentral describes it as "partial 16S ribosomal RNA". It matches the Rfam family "Bacterial small subunit ribosomal RNA", at positions 1386 to 1482 of the family's 1533-position model. The record is from RNAcentral.